GAGCUCUCAAUCUGUCAAUCCUUCCAGUGUCCGGGCCUGGUGAGAUUUCCCGUGUUGAGUCAAAUUAAGCCGCAGGCUCCACUCCUGGUGGUGCCCUUCCGUCAAUUCCUUUAAGUUUCAGCUUUGCAACCAUACUUCCCCCGGAACCCAAAAGCUUUGGUUUCCCGGAAGCUUCCCGCAGAGCCUACAUAAAAAACAGCUGCGGAUCGCUAGCUGGCAUCGUUUAUGGUUAGAACUAGGGCGGUAUCUGAUCGCCUUCGAACCUCUAACUUUCGUUCUUGAUUAAUGAAAACAUUCUUGGCAAAUGCUUUCGCAGUAGUUAGUCUUCAGACGGUCCAAGAAUUUCACCUCUGUCGUCUGAAUACUAAUGCCCCCGACUGUCCCUAUUAAUCAUUACGUCGAUUUCCGAAAACCAACAAAAUAGAAACGACGUCCUAUUCUAUUAUUCCAUGCACGAAUAUUCAAGCGUGUAAAGCCUGCUUUGAGCACUCUAAUUUUUUCAAAGUAAACCUGACGGCAUCCCAGGACACUCGGUUAAGAGCACCCUGGAACCUCCGUCAAAAACACAGGUAAAUGGGGCAGUAAUGCCGAAUAGCAAACCGCCCCCUACCUGCCGAGAUCCAACUACGAGCUUUUUAACCGCAACAACAUUAAUAUACGCUAUUGGAGCUGGAAU
RNAcentral lists this ribosomal RNA (676 nucleotides) under uncultured metazoan. RNAcentral's name for it is "partial 18S ribosomal RNA". Lineage: Eukaryota; Metazoa. The record is from RNAcentral.